This 1279-nucleotide small RNA is filed under the name uncultured Xanthobacteraceae bacterium. RNAcentral's name for it is "bacterial SSU rRNA". The stretch from base 1 to 488 matches the Rfam family "Bacterial small subunit ribosomal RNA", at positions 1045 to 1533 of the family's 1533-position model. The record is from RNAcentral. Lineage: Bacteria; Pseudomonadati; Pseudomonadota; Alphaproteobacteria; Hyphomicrobiales; Xanthobacteraceae.
AUGGCUGUCGUCAGCUCGUGUCGUGAGAUGUUGGGUUAAGUCCCGCAACGAGCGCAACCCUCGGCCUUAGUUGCCAUCAUUUAGUUGGGCACUCUAAGGCGACUGCCGGUGAUAAGCCGGAGGAAGGUGGGGAUGACGUCAAGUCCUCAUGGCCCUUACAGGUUGGGCUACACACGUGCUACAAUGGCGGUGACAGAGGGACGCAAAAGGGCAACCUUUCGCAAAUCUCAAAAAACCGUCUCAGUUCGGAUUGGGGUCUGCAACUCGACCCCAUGAAGUUGGAAUCGCUAGUAAUCGCAGAUCAGCACGCUGCGGUGAAUACGUUCCCGGGCCUUGUACACACCGCCCGUCACACCAUGGGAGUUGGCUUUACCCGAAGGCGCUGCGCUAACCCGUAAGGGAGGCAGGCGACCACGGUAGGGUCAGCGACUGGGGUGAAGUCGUAACAAGGUAGCCGUAGGGGAACCUGCGGCUGGAUCACCUCCUUUCUAAGGAUGAACCUCCAGAGCUCACGAGAUCUAUUGGUUCGUCAACUAUACUACACAGGUGCGGGGCGCCGCCGUCUUCGUUUCUCUUUCCUCCUCAUCGCCGGCCUGGCUCUUGAGCUAUAAGGCGCGCCGGCGAUGCGAUCGCGAGCCCAUUGAGCGGCGGCGCUGAAGGCCCGUAGCUCAGUUGGUUAGAGCGCACGCCUGAUAAGCGUGAGGUCGGCAGUUCAAGUCUGCCCGGGCCUACCAUCCUGCUUCGCGCGCCGCGCUUCGCAGGACUUGUCUCGAAGGCUAUCUGGCGACAAAGGGCAUGGCCUCCGUAGCUUCAGCGAAGGAGGGGCCAUAGCUCAGUUGGUAGAGCGCGUGCUUUGCAAGCAUGAGGUCGUCGGUUCGAUUCCGUCUGGCUCCACCAAGACCAAUAUGUCUCGCGAUCUUUGAGGAAGAUACCAAUUCUCACCACUGCCUUUCGCUUAAAGGGCGCGGCGAGUUUGACAUCGUGAAUGAAGGGUCGGCCCGUCCCCGAAAGGUUGGGGAUUUAGGGCGGACUUAAGAAAAGACAUCAAUUGUCUGGCAAAUACAAAUCAAAGCGCAUGUGUGGGCGCGGGAAGCUCUUCGUACGGCAUCCCGCAAACUUGACCCCCGUCCAUGAGUUUUGCUGAGAACGAUCAAGCGCAUAAGGGCUUCUGACGGAUGCCUUGGCGUUGAGAGGCGAUGAAGGACGUGGCACGCUGCGAUAAGUUCCGGGGAGGCGCGAGCACCCUUUGAUCCGGAAAUUUCCGAAUGGGGAAACCCGG